CAGAGAAGUCGAUGAUGGUUUACCUACAUGUCUGAACCUGUCUGAUGCACCUCAGUGAUGUCAUCUCUGUGUGGUUCUGAGACUUCUCUGACG
This 93-nucleotide small nucleolar RNA is filed under the name Moschus moschiferus (Siberian musk deer). RNAcentral's name for it is "Small nucleolar RNA SNORD91 family (ENSMMSG00000006838.1)". It matches the Rfam family "Small nucleolar RNA SNORD91 family". Rfam says of the family: The members of this family belong to the C/D class of snoRNAs which contain the C (UGAUGA) and D (CUGA) box motifs. Most of the members of the box C/D family function in directing site-specific 2'-O-methylation of substrate RNAs. Lineage: Eukaryota; Metazoa; Chordata; Mammalia; Artiodactyla; Moschidae. The record is from Rfam by way of RNAcentral.